RNAcentral lists this unclassified non-coding RNA (232 nucleotides) under Hevea brasiliensis (rubber tree). Lineage: Eukaryota; Viridiplantae; Streptophyta; Magnoliopsida; Malpighiales; Euphorbiaceae. The record is from RNAcentral.
UCCAAUGAAUGGUCCAACCCAGAACACCCAAUGGUCAUGCCAUGCAUGGCUCUUGUUGUAGAUGAUGGCAGCCCCAAGGCUUCUAGCAGGGUUGAUGCCAGUGCCUGUGAUGGGGAUGGUGGCAAGAUGGACAAGGAAGACUGCAAAUCCAAUAGGGAGUGGUGCAAGGAGCGGAACAUGUGAGUCUCUAGCAUUUCUCUUGGCAUCAGUGGCGGAGAAGACGGUGUAGACG